This is a non-coding RNA of Equus caballus (horse), 380 nucleotides long. Lineage: Eukaryota; Metazoa; Chordata; Mammalia; Perissodactyla; Equidae. The record is from RefSeq and is a predicted model, not a curated record.
ACCUUUGCGUCUAUAACUACAAUUGUCCUCAGGGCUGCACUGUCCCGUACGGGAGCCACCUCUGGCUAUUGGCACCAGCAAUACAGUGGAUCUGGAUUGAGAGAUGCUGUUGCUGGAAGUGCCAGCCAGAUUUUGCAGACUUGGUACGACAAGAAGAACAUGCGCUGACCCAUGGAGAACCUCCUGAACACCAAGAACUGUGCUAAGCCAGAUGAGGAAACUGAGGCAGAGAGGGGUCAGGGACCGUGCCCAAGGUCGCACGCUGGCCCCCUGAGAGGUACUUCCAUCAGUCCCACUUAACAGAUGGGGAGACUGAGGCUCCGAGAAGUGAGGCGACACGUCCAGGCCCGCGGGGUCACGUCCACUGGUCUGCUCUCCUG